UUUAUCAUCAAGGGAGCAGAGCUUUUUCAGACAGAGAUUUUUUUUGGCAGGAUAUCGUCUUUCAACAGUUUCAUUGGGCAUGGCUGUUGACGAUCCUGUCUCUCCAUAAUGACCGAGGAUUGAAUGGAUUGAAUCAUCAGAUACGGAACCGGGUUUACUCUUUUUUUACACUUCAACAAAGAAAAAAAUCAGCAACAACACAUACCAGGGCAGCAGCUUCAGUUAAUCAACAUC
This 234-nucleotide small nucleolar RNA is filed under the name Trichophyton rubrum BMU01672. RNAcentral describes it as "CD-box snoRNA". Lineage: Eukaryota; Fungi; Ascomycota; Eurotiomycetes; Onygenales; Arthrodermataceae. The record is from RNAcentral.